Lutra lutra (Eurasian river otter) is the source of this 7660-nucleotide long non-coding RNA. RefSeq lists it as uncharacterized. The record is from RefSeq and is a predicted model, not a curated record. NCBI's taxonomy places the organism in Eukaryota, Metazoa, Chordata, Mammalia, Carnivora, Mustelidae. The transcript is spliced from 2 exons.
GCACCUGCGGACAAACAGUUGUGGUCACCGCCAGGGACUGCGUGGUCCCACGGCCUGUGUCACGGGCUCAGAGUAGCGUUGGAGCAGCCCGGCCCUGAGCCACGCGGUAGGAUAUCCCGUCAGUAGGUGUUGGUGCCUGCCGGGGCUGGGGAAGCCACGGGGGCCCUGCCUUCAGGAACAUGCUUUCCUGGAGACACUGGCCACGGACAGCCACGGAGCGAGGCUGGCUUCCAGACAUCCCACGGGGUCCUGCUUUCCUCCCUUCCCAGGCUGUCGACAGGAAGGAAGCCUCUCUGGGCCUCAGUAGCACUGGGCUGGUUCCGUGAGCCCCACCUGGACGCUCAGAGUGGGGUGCAGGUCAGGAUGCACCGUGGCGGGGGAAAUCCGCUACAGUGGCCACGGUCCCGCAUCCCACCAACAGCACCAGGAAAGGCAAGAAGGAAUCCACAGACAGUCAAGGGAAGAAAAGGCUGUCCCCUUCCUGGCAAUGUCAUAUGGGAAAAGGCACGGAUUUCCGCGGAAAUAACAUUUACGCCCUGGGUGGCCUUGCGGGGAACUUGGCAUUCCUCCUGCUAGUCCCCCGGGCUGACAGAUCGGGAAACUGAGGUUGGGGAGACCACACAGAGGCCUGUGUGCACGCUGGACACAGCCAGGUGGGGCCCCACGCUGCAGCCCCAGGCCACCUCCAUGCGCAAGCACCCUGGAGGGACCUGGGUGCUUGGGGUGGGGCCAUGCGCAGAGACCCUGAGUUCUCAAGAGGCCCAGAGUCUGGGCAGGGGAAUUCAGCCAUGCCUGAGGCUCCCAGGGGACGGGCAAGUCCUCCCUCGGUGACCCCCGGGUCUCCCAGCCGCUGUGCCCAGGCUUGUGAUCCCACUGCCGUCUCAGCGGAUGUGCUGGCUGCAGGGAACUGAGGAAACAGACCAUUGUCUCCCCAGAAUAUCCCUUCAGGCACUUGAGCUGUAUUUUUAGACAGUAACUAGGGGCUCCUUGUCGUAAUGUUUGGAAAACAGCAAACUCUGGAGAGGACAGCAACGUGUUCCCCCAACGUGUCGCGGGACACACCAGCCAGCCACGGGGCAGAGAGGCCCCAGAGGAGCACCGAGCAGCCCUCCUCCCUGUUUGCCUCUCCGUGUCUGUGCCCCAGAAGCUAAAUCAUGCCCCUUUCCCCUGUCCUGUCUUCCCGAGGAUGCUCAGCUCUAUGGUCAUGGGACAUUCUGUGCCAAAGCACCCACUGUGUGCACACUUCCCAGCAUGGGGACGCACCGUGACAGGGUCCACUGACCGCCCCCAUGUCUGCUGCCAGUGUGCAAGCAUGGCUGGUUAGGUCCUGCAUGGGACUGCCUGACGGAUCCUGCCCUUUCAACAGCAUCUGCCCCGCAGCACACCAUAGACGUCCUCAUAGCCCACCACAUAGUUGUUCCCUGGCACUGAGGGACCCCCAGGACCGAGGAACUCCGGCACCAAGCGACCUGGGCACCGAGGGACCCUGGCACUAUGGCCCCCAGCACCAAGGGACCUGGGCACCGAGGGACCCUGGCACUAUGGCCCCCAGCACCAAGGGACCUGGGCACCGAGGGACCCUGGCACUAUGGCCCCCAGCACCAAGGGACCUGGGCACCACAGGGUUUCCCUGGUUGUAGUGAACCCGCUCUCCUGCCCACAGGGAGAAGGCCUCUCACCUCCGCCUGGGGAGGUUUCUCCGCAUUCCAGACCCAGACCCACAGGCGGGAAGGGUUAAUGUUGUCCUUGGGACUGAAGUUCCCAGAGCCAGCAAUUACAAAGGUCAGAGCCUGGGGGUGGGGGUGGGGGGGUGGGGGGACCAUGGAGCAGGAGAGCCUGGAACCAGAAAACACAGACCCCUGAGCCCCGCCCCAGGGGGAAGUGAGGUAUGAGCUGCUCUCCGGGUGGGCGCCCCGCUCUGCUGCUCUGCUGUCCCCACCCGGGCGCCCCCAUCACGCCGGCAACCUUCCCCGGCUUGCUGCCUAAGGCUCUGCUGGUGUCAGCCCCAAAGCCAGCUGCCUGUACCCCAAGAGGACAGACUGGGUCACCCUGAUCUUCUCCAGCACCUCCCCCCACCACAAGGACACUCCAGGUCACCCUGACCUUCCUCUGCACCCCUCCCCCACAAGGAGACCCCUAGGAGACAAAGGCUGGACAGGGAGGAUGGAGCCAACCCUAAAUCGAGAGGACAGGCUGCUCCAGGGACAGGACACCCUCUCCCUCCCCUUCCCUGCACAGUCCACCUUUAGGCCUUUCCCUGCACACGCCCCUCCCUGCCCUUCCCUGCACACGCCCCUCCCUGCCCUUCCCUGCACACACCCCCUCCCUGCCUGUCCCCUGGCAUUCCCUACAGAAACUGGUCAUUGCCAUUCUGUGUCAUCCUUUUCACAGGCGAGCAAAUCUCCAAACAGACCUCGGGACACCCGCACAGCUCAGGGGUGUUUCCCAGGACUGAGGGCUCUUUAAGGUCACAUGGAGGCAGAAGAUGCCGGGAUCAGGGCACCUCGCUGCUGGGAGGACGUGGGUCACCCCGCUGCUGACCAGUACCUGGGUGGUAGACCACCGGAGCACCACGGGGCGGGUGACGCAGGGCAGGACCUUGCCCAGGAGCUGCAGCAGCUGGGACUGGGUCUGGAAGACGGGCGAUGUCUUGUUCAGGCAGUAGGUCAUGGUGUCGUGGCUUCCUGCAAGCAGACACCAGGGGACAUUGCACGCGCGGCCUCCUGGGCUGUGUGCUCCGAGGGCACGUGGGGAACACACAGCGUCAGGCAUGACCGGUCAUUGCCCAAGAUGCACGCCCACCGGAAGGCUGCAGAGUGCGUGGAUGGUCAUCCAGAGCCAAGGGGCCUCAAUCCAGGGGCGGGGGUCCUUAUACGAGACAGAGAAGCGGAAACGGACGCAGAGGACGAGCACCGGGACCCCAGGCACCUCCCUGGUGGGGGACCCCAGUCAUCACCGUGGGGACAGCCCUGUGCAAAGCGGGCCGUCUCCCCACAGAGCCCGGGAUGUGCUCCUGGUUCCCGGAGGUGUCCACACCAAAAAAAGUUUAAGGUUUCCCAGAAACCUCUGUAAAGCAGAGUAAAAAAGGGGGACUUUUUCUACGAGGUGCUAAUGGAUGUGUGUUAUAUAGGAACGAGGUCUGGAAAGAAAUAAACCCAGCACAACGCGCUGUUGGGGACCCACUCGACAACGGAUCGCAGUCCCGUGUUCAGAGAGGGACGCGAUCAGACCAGCUCCAGUUUCUGUAAGGAGGCUUCCCGAUAAGGGGACGAGUGGGUCUAGCCGGCACGUGGCUAACAGCGCAAAUCAGGCCAGAUUCCCGUGUCCUAUGUCCCAUCCACGGUAUCCCUGGAUGUUGGCCGAUUUUCGUGCACGAUGAAAGCACAGAGUUCUGUUGGGACACAUGGACACGAUCCCCAGUGAAAAAGUUACGAGGAACACAGGACCAGAAACGGUGGGAUGUCCCCAAGCUGGGCUAACUAACAUCCCAAACACAUCCCCAAGAUGCAUUUGUCCCAAUGCCCACACGGUGGGCACAACGUGAUCCUCCAAGAGGUUCCCCUCAAAGCCCCUGGAGGGGGGACGUGUCAUCCCACACGGCAGAAGGCAAUUUGCAGACCAGUUUCGAGGGUCGAGCGGCAGAUCUUCUUGGAUAACCCAGUGGCCCGAUCUUGCCUUGAGGGACCUCAUAACAGGGAGAUGUGGUCAGAGUCAGAGGACAGUAGCAGAAGGGACAUUGCGGGCUUCGAGGUAGAGGAAAGGGCCCCGUGAAGCCAGACACAGCAGAGAAACAGAGUCUCCCUAGAGCCUCCAGAAGGAGCUGGCCCCACAGGCACUCAGAGGUCAGAACAUGCCCAGUUCUGGGCCCCAGAGCUGUGAGGUCACAGUCGUGUGUGAUAAGGAACCACCCAGGUUGUGGUCCUUCGUUAAAGGAGCCCAGGAGACACUCCCACAGCCACCCAGACUGGUGGUGCCUUUGGGUCUAGCAGCUCCUCCCCAGCAGCACUGGGCCGUCCCCUGCCCCUCACAGCUGUGGCCCCCCCCCACAUCUGCCCUCUAAGGGAGCUAUUCGGCCCACAACUUCCGUGGAGGCCACAUGUUCUGAGGGGCGCCCAGGGGAUGGAACCCUAGGACGGGCACACCUCUGGGCCCUUGGUCCCUUCUCACCUCCCGGAAUGACUCCCUGCUGAUCCCCAGGACACCUACCCCCAAACCCCAUCUCGACUGCAUGCAGAGCACUUGGGAUCCACAGAAAACAUGUCCCCACCAGGAAAACGGACCCCCGGCAGGGGGGAGGGGAGACACCAGUGACUCGGGUCACCAGGAAGUACACACAGGGCCACAGCUGUCCUCCAGCAUGUUGGGGAGGCCGGGUUAGGGUUAGCUUCUCGGUGUCUACGUCUCCUCCUCAGGGUCUUACAAGGACCCCUGUCGCUGCAUUCUGGACUGGCCCGAUCCAGGAUGAGCUCCUCUCACAUCCUUCCCUUCAUCACACCUGCAAAGACCCCAUUUGCACAAAAGGCCCCAUUCCAAGACUCGUGGCAGGGGGACAUGAAUUUCCGGGGCACCGGCCAGUGCCUACAACUGGGUUUGUGCAGGGACACAGCCUGACCCCCAGGGGCUCUCUCAUCUGUGAAGUCAUUCAAGCCAGGGACCCUGGCCUCGGUGGGAGUCCCGCUGACGGGACCACAGGACCACAGGGAAAUACGCAGACUGUCUUCUGCCCCAUUCCAUGAACCAGAUAAACUGGGCAUGCACGUUCCUUAAAAAGUCAUAAAAGUCCGGGGGGCACCUGGGUGGUCAGUCGGUUAAGCAUCAACCUUCCUUUUGGGCUCAGAUCAUGAUCUCGGGAUCCUGAGAUCGAGCCCCUGAGAUCGAGCCUCAGAGCUCUGAGCUCUGCUUGGGAUUCUCUCCCUCUGCCUCUCCCAACCCCCCACUGGCACUUUCCCUCAAAUUAGUACAUCUUUUAAAGAAAGAAGAAGUCCUACAAUUCCCGAAGAAAACCACAGGUACAUAGGAAACUAUAGAAAAACAUCAAAAACUGCGAAAAUCCACCCCGCUGAGAAAUCUGCCGCUUUUGAGGGAGGAAUUCCUGCUACCGCGUGGCCGUGGCCGUGGAGACACAUGGUGGGAUCCACCACGCUUCUUUUCUGCAAACACAGAAGACUGGCAACGCCCGCGCUCAUCAGUGCAGAGCUGUGGCCACGGCUCCCACUGCCCCCAGUGCCCCAAGGGCCCCGGCGGAACCCAGCAGGCCUGACUCAGGGCCACCAGGUCAUUGGAUCACACGGUCCCCGACGUGCUCAGAGUGAUCUCUUUGUGGGUCGGACCCACUUGGGACCCUCCAGGCUCGAAAUGCAGGAGACACUCAGCACGCGGCGGAUGGGGAGUGGCGAAUGCAUCUGUGAGAAACCAGCAGGUUCGCUCCGCGGAGGGACAGACCGGCAGGGACGCUUUGCCCCAAAUCCCUAUGCUGUCACGAAGCCACACUUCCCUGGGGUCUGCAUGUGCCUGCUGGGCUGCGUUAGAGAAGGAGAAGGGAGAACACUCACGCAGUGCAUGUCUGUGUACGUGUGUGCCUUAUUGUAUGUGCAUGCAUAUGUUUGUGCCUGUAUUGUGUACAUGUGUGUGCAAGUUCACGCACACAUCUGUACCUGUAACGUGUGCGUGUGUGCACGCCUGCCUGUCUUGUGUGCAUGCAUGUGCAAGUUCACGCACACAUCUGUACCUGUAACGUGUGCGUGUGUGCACGCCUCCCUGUAUUGUCUGCAUGCUGGUGCAAGUUUGUGCACACAUCUGUACCUAUAACGUGUGCGUGUGUGCAUGCCUGCCUGUAUUGUGUGCAUGCUUGUGCAAGUUCACGCACACAUCUGUACCUGUAGCGUGUGUGUGUGUAUGUACUGCAUGCAUGCACUGCAUGUGUACACGUGUCUGCCAAUACUGCAUAUAUCCAUGUACGUGCUCCAUGCGGUCUCCCCACACCCGAGCCCCAUCCCAUGGCGGCAGCUUCCCUGCUGGGGACGCGGAGGCCCUCACCUGGGAUGGAGAGCUGGUGGAGGGGCACGUCCCAGAGCACCGGGCACAGUGCCGACAUCCAGUCCGCAUUUGUGGUGCACGGCAGGCUCUGGAAGCUGCCGGAAGUGCUCACCUGUCCGCCCAUCGGAGGCCACCCUGUGCGACCUGAGGAAGGAAACGAAGUUUUGCAGAGGUCAACCGAGGGGACCCAGCUCCGGGCAGUGGGAAGGGGCUCACACAGCAGCCUGCAGAGCCCACGCGGUUUCCAUCCUGCGGUUGCUGGUGUCUGAGGGCCCAGGUGAGCACUGCCUCCCCACCCCGCUCCCUCUGCUGGGGUACUAGGCUCUGGUGCAAGGAAGCCAGCGCACUCCCUUGCAGGCACCAGGGAGACGCCCUGGGCUAGGGGAUGCUAGGGGGUCUCAGGGUCCUUAACCUACAGCCCCAGCCACUGCCUUCCAGCAUCUGCCAGCUGUGUGCCCAGCACACACAGGUAUGAUCUCCGCUCACCAUCAGCAGGUGGGUGGGCGUGGGUCAGCAACGGCACAGGAAAGGGAGCCCUAAGGACGUGUCCACAGUGCUCCGUGGGCCAGUGGGCAAGACCUCGCCCCUGGUCCACAUGUUCCCGUCCACCAUAGCCCGGCCUCCUGACCUGCCACCUCCACACAGAGGGGACACCCUCGGGGACAGAGCCUUGGCCCCAAGCCCUGAGUUGACAUGUACUGGUUUCCGUGCAGGAGCCUGUCCUGGGCUGAGCUGUGUCCUCACCACCAGAUUCCCACGUGGCAGCCUCGUGUCCUCUCCCUGGGUCAUGGGCUGGGCUCUGAGCAGGAGCACAUGAGGCAUGAGACCCGGGCCCACAGGGACCACGCAGCGUGCCGGCCACCACGCAGGCAUUUCUGACCCACUGUCUAGGAGGGACAAGUUCCCUCUGGUCUGGAUGUGGCCCUUCCUCUGGCCAAGUGUCCCCCUGUUGGAGCUCUGCCGGUACAGCAGGGGUGGGGGGUGAGAACUGGCAUCGCUAAAAUAACCCGCUUUGCCAUAGGAUGACUUUGAGCUGGAGGAGAUUGAGAAAAAGCCGAGACAAGAAAAACUCCCUGCCUUUCUCCUCUCUGCCUGGAAGCGGCAUAAAUUCCUUUCCUGAAGCCAUCCCUGCUCUGUCCCCUGCACCAGGAAAGGGAGGAAUGUUCUCUCCAGGAAAGUCUACAUGACAAGCCUCACUAAGGAACACUUACCUCCCCGUCGUGUCCCCCAAGCAUUUACCUUCUCAUAAUUGACUGUCGCUACGAUGCCAACCCCCUUUUCCUCUGGCUUGUCACCUCCCCACAAAUGUGUCACCCAUUGUUGAAAUGGCAGGUAAGCCCACAAGUCUAUCUCCGUGAAUCUACUUCUUUUCCGUGAAGGCCUCUGUACACAUAGAGAAUCAACCUCUUCUCCUGCCCAUCUGUCUUUUGUUGUUUUAUUUAUUUUAUUUUGUAUUUUAUUUUAUUUUAUUUUUUGGACAAGCUCUAUGCCCAACAUGGGGCUCGAACUCUCAACCCUAAAUUCUAGAGUAGCAUGCUCCACCCACUGAGCCAGCUAGGCACCCCCGUCUUUCACCAUUUUAGUUUGCAUGUCUCAGUCACAGAACCAAGAGUGUAGAAAAGAU